RNAcentral lists this ribosomal RNA (1489 nucleotides) under Lactiplantibacillus plantarum. Its description in RNAcentral is "bacterial SSU rRNA". It matches the Rfam family "Bacterial small subunit ribosomal RNA". Lineage: Bacteria; Bacillati; Bacillota; Bacilli; Lactobacillales; Lactobacillaceae. The record is from RNAcentral.
GACGAACGCUGGCGGCGUGCCUAAUACAUGCAAGUCGAACGAACUCUGGUAUUGAUUGGUGCUUGCAUCAUGAUUUACAUUUGAGUGAGUGGCGAACUGGUGAGUAACACGUGGGAAACCUGCCCAGAAGCGGGGGAUAACACCUGGAAACAGAUGCUAAUACCGCAUAACAACUUGGACCGCAUGGUCCGAGUUUGAAAGAUGGCUUCGGCUAUCACUUUUGGAUGGUCCCGCGGCGUAUUAGCUAGAUGGUGGGGUAACGGCUCACCAUGGCAAUGAUACGUAGCCGACCUGAGAGGGUAAUCGGCCACAUUGGGACUGAGACACGGCCCAAACUCCUACGGGAGGCAGCAGUAGGGAAUCUUCCACAAUGGACGAAAGUCUGAUGGAGCAACGCCGCGUGAGUGAAGAAGGGUUUCGGCUCGUAAAACUCUGUUGUUAAAGAAGAACAUAUCUGAGAGUAACUGUUCAGGUAUUGACGGUAUUUAACCAGAAAGCCACGGCUAACUACGUGCCAGCAGCCGCGGUAAUACGUAGGUGGCAAGCGUUGUCCGGAUUUAUUGGGCGUAAAGCGAGCGCAGGCGGUUUUUUAAGUCUGAUGUGAAAGCCUUCGGCUCAACCGAAGAAGUGCAUCGGAAACUGGGAAACUUGAGUGCAGAAGAGGACAGUGGAACUCCAUGUGUAGCGGUGAAAUGCGUAGAUAUAUGGAAGAACACCAGUGGCGAAGGCGGCUGUCUGGUCUGUAACUGACGCUGAGGCUCGAAAGUAUGGGUAGCAAACAGGAUUAGAUACCCUGGUAGUCCAUACCGUAAACGAUGAAUGCUAAGUGUUGGAGGGUUUCCGCCCUUCAGUGCUGCAGCUAACGCAUUAAGCAUUCCGCCUGGGGAGUACGGCCGCAAGGCUGAAACUCAAAGGAAUUGACGGGGGCCCGCACAAGCGGUGGAGCAUGUGGUUUAAUUCGAAGCUACGCGAAGAACCUUACCAGGUCUUGACAUACUAUGCAAAUCUAAGAGAUUAGACGUUCCCUUCGGGGACAUGGAUACAGGUGGUGCAUGGUUGUCGUCAGCUCGUGUCGUGAGAUGUUGGGUUAAGUCCCGCAACGAGCGCAACCCUUAUCAUCAGUUGCCAGCAUUAAGUUGGGCACUCUGGUGAGACUGCCGGUGACAAACCGGAGGAAGGUGGGGAUGACGUCAAAUCAUCAUGCCCCUUAUGACCUGGGCUACACACGUGCUACAAUGGAUGGUACAACGAGUUGCGAACUCGCGAGAGUAAGCUAAUCUCUUAAAGCCAUUCUCAGUUCGGAUUGUAGGCUGCAACUCGCCUACAUGAAGUCGGAAUCGCUAGUAAUCGCGGAUCAGCAUGCCGCGGUGAAUACGUUCCCGGGCCUUGUACACACCGCCCGUCACACCAUGAGAGUUUGUAACACCCAAAGUCGGUGGGGUAACCUUUUAGGAACCAGCCGCCUAAGGUGGGACAGAUGAUUAGGGUG